AAUUGGAGGAGCAGAUUCCUUUCCGACCUCAGAGAGAAGUCCUGCUCCUUGUCCGUCCUUCCUAACAAGGUUUUCCUAGAUCCUCCCCAAAGCCAAGAUGGGAAAGAGGUGUGGCCUAGCACAUGUACUGAUUUCCAUGAUAACAUAAAGCAUCUCGUUGGGUCCACCUGGGAGUCACGUGAUGGCUCCAGUUGUGAGUGCCGCAGAGAUGGAUUGCAUUGUUGCAGGACUCCAGAGGUACCAUAGCACUGCCUGCCAACGUUUAGGGACACCAGGGACCAGAGAGAAAUUUUCUGUGAACCAGAGGAAAGUUGUUUUCAUUUGAUCUUCUUCUCUCUCAUGCUGGCUACGUGUCAACAAGAAUGCAUUGGGAAUCUUUUUCUCCCUAAGAUUAAGAUGCAAGGUGGAUCUGAAGCUGAUGAAAUGUUUUCCCUUCAUCCCAUCUGCAAAACAAACACAAAUUAGUCAUAGAGCAACUGGCAAUGGCUACUCUGACAAAACUUACUCAGCGAUUUUUUAAAUUGCACAAGGGGCGGUCUUGGUUCUUGUAUAAAUUGGAGGAGCAGAUUCCUUUCUGACCUCAGAGACAAGUGCUGCUCCUUGUCCUUCCUCCCUACCAAGAGAUUUCCUGGGUCUUCCCCAAAGCCAAGAUGAAAGUCUUCUUCAGUCUGAUCCUCUUCUCUCUCGUGCUGGCUGCAUGUCAUGCAUGCUAUCUGGUUUCCUUUGAAUAUAUGGCUAAAAAAGCUGAAAACAUGCCGCCAAACACAUGUGUUGAUGCCUUCGAUGGGACAUUUCAUCUCCUUGGGUCCACUUGGAUCGCAGAGGAUUGUUUUCAGUGCCACUGCAAGAAUAAUGGAAUGUUCUGCUGCCACAGAAAUUUUAGAGAAAUUCCAUUUUGCAAAGUAGUGGUAAAUCGCGAGACAUGUCAACCUGAAUACUAUAGACUCGAUGACCCAUCGCAGCGCUGUGAUGUCUGAUCUCUUCACUCGGACAAACUGGAAUAAAUCUCUCAUGUGUAAAUGAACCCGUAUUAAUCUCUCACAUCAGCAUCUAAAAUGUUUUCUCUUCCCUUUUCUUUUGAUUAAAGAACAGUUAUGUAAAACAUGAA
RNA transcript from Thamnophis elegans (Western terrestrial garter snake), 1108 nucleotides. It is a transcript of the gene named small serum protein 5-like, with no coding region annotated. The transcript has 8 exons. NCBI's taxonomy places the organism in Eukaryota, Metazoa, Chordata, Lepidosauria, Squamata, Natricidae. The record is from RefSeq and is a predicted model, not a curated record.